Molecule: unclassified non-coding RNA, 666 nt
Filed under: Mandragora officinarum (mandrake)
Lineage: Eukaryota; Viridiplantae; Streptophyta; Magnoliopsida; Solanales; Solanaceae
Description: sequence contains ITS1, 5.8S rRNA gene, ITS2
Source: RNAcentral
GGGUCGCGGUCGGAGCGCCUAAGCGCUUAGAAGGGUCCAAGAGCACCAACGCACAACGAGCCGUAGCCACAACAUUAUGAGAGUUGAGUUUCAACCACCACUUGCCGUGACGUCCGUCGACGUGGACUCAUAUUUAGGCCAACCGCAAGCUCAAGGCACACGGGAGGCCAAUAUCCGCCCCACAACACCACCCGCGUCCAAAGACUUUGGGAGCGGAGUGCGGGGGCGACGAGAUGCGUGACGCCCAGGCAGACGUGCCCUCAACCUAAUGGCUUCGGGCGCAACUUGCGUUCAAAGACUCGAUGGUUCACGGGAUUCUGCAAUUCACACCAAGUAUCGCAUUUCGCUACGUUCUUCAUCGAUGCGAGAGCCGAGAUAUCCGUUGCCGAGAGUCGUUUUUAUUUCAAAAGAAGCACUAGGCCUCCCGCGCACACCGCAGACGGGGCACGAAAGGCAUGCAACCAAUUUAGUAUUCCUUGGCGCUUUCCGCGCCGGGGUUCGUUAAUCACCAAGCGGGCACGCAAGCGCGCACGCAAGGGAUGGGAGGGAGGCGCACGGAAAAGGGCCGAAGCACCCCAACCGCACAGCUCCCCCAGUGUUUAAACAAGUUCGCGGGUCGUGCUGCUAUGCAGAUUUCGACAAUGAUCCUUCCGCAGGUUCACCUAC